AGAGUUUGAUCCUGGCUCAGGACGAACGCUGGCGGCAUGCCUAAUACAUGCAAGUCGAACGAACCAACCUUAAGAAAUAGAAGUACUUGUACCGAAGCGGAAGAAGAAUUUUUGGUUAGUGGCGAACGGGUGAGUAACACGUAGGUAACCUACCUUUAAGACGCGGAUAACCACUGGAAACGGUGACUAAUAGGCGAUAUGAUAUAAAGUGGCAUCACUUAAUAUUAAAAGGAGCUUUCGGGCUUCACUUAGAGAUGGACCUGCGGCGCAUUAGCUAGUAGGCGGGGUAAAGGCCCACCUAGGCGACGAUGCGUAGCCGGCCUGAGAGGGUGAACGGCACACUGGGACUGA
This 351-nucleotide ribosomal RNA is filed under the name uncultured bacterium. Its description in RNAcentral is "bacterial SSU rRNA". It matches the Rfam family "Bacterial small subunit ribosomal RNA", at positions 8 to 322 of the family's 1533-position model. The record is from RNAcentral.